CCUACGGGUGGCAGCAGUGGGGAAUAUUGGGCAAUGGGCGCAAGCCUGACCCAGCAACGCCGCGUGAAGGAAGAAGGCUUUCGGGUUGUAAACUUCUUUUCUCAGGGACGAAGCAAGUGACGGUACCUGAGGAAUAAGCCACGGCUAACUACGUGCCAGCAGCCGCGGUAAUACGUAGGUGGCAAGCGUUAUCCGGAUUUACUGGGUGUAAAGGGCGUGUAGGCGGGACUGCAAGUCAGAUGUGAAAACCAUGGGCUCAACCUAUGGCCUGCAUUUGAAACUGUAGUUCUUGAGUACUGGGGAGGCAGACGGAAUUCCUAGGGGAGCGGUGAAAUGCGGAGGUAGUAGGAGGAACACCAGUGGGGAAGGCGGGCUGCUGGACAGCAACUGACGCUGGGGCGCGAAAGGGUGGGGAGCAAACAGGAUUAGAUACCCGGGUAGUC
RNAcentral lists this ribosomal RNA (443 nucleotides) under uncultured bacterium. RNAcentral's name for it is "partial 16S ribosomal RNA". It matches the Rfam family "Bacterial small subunit ribosomal RNA", at positions 338 to 795 of the family's 1533-position model. The record is from RNAcentral.